UCCCAUAAACCGUGGCUCAGUUCAGAUCGUAGGCUGCAACUCGCCUACGUGAAGUAGGAAUCGCUAGUAAUCGCAGGUCAGCAUACUGCGGUGAAUACGUUCCCGGGCCUUGUACACACCGCCCGUCACACCAUGGAAGUUGGCCAUGCCCGAAGUCGUUACUCCAACCCUUGUGGAGGAGGACGCCGAAGGUGGGGCUAAUGACUGGGGUGAAGUCGUAACAAGGUAUCCGUACCGGAAGGUGCGGAUGGAUCACCUCCUAA
Molecule: ribosomal RNA, 263 nt
Filed under: uncultured cyanobacterium
Lineage: Bacteria; Bacillati; Cyanobacteriota
Description: partial 16S ribosomal RNA
Rfam family: Bacterial small subunit ribosomal RNA
Source: RNAcentral